Molecule: long non-coding RNA, 975 nt
Organism: Mytilus trossulus (common blue mussel)
Lineage: Eukaryota; Metazoa; Mollusca; Bivalvia; Mytilida; Mytilidae
Exons: 3
Source: RefSeq, a predicted model, not a curated record
CAUUACAUAUCUCUUAAGUAAAAGAUAAAUACAUGUACCUAAUUCGUAAUGAGUUAUCUGUAAAUAUUGAAGAUAUUUUAUUUGAUACAGUGAAAGCAUUAGCUGUGCCGAUCAAUAAUUCCGUCGGGAUGCUUGCAUAAAAUACGACAUCAGUAUUGUAACAAGGGAUCUUUAUUCCACAUAAAUAGAAUCUUCCUCGGACUCACUGUUUUGUCAUACCAAUACUCUAACGGGGAACUAUGCAUUUCGUCAUACUUCUAACGUUUUGCCUGUUUAUAUGGAACGUACAAGCAAGUCCGGCGCGAACAGACAAGCAAUGGAUGGAUGAGUGUAGAGAUAUUCUUUUAAACGAUGCUGCAGAAAAGUACAGUCAAAACUACAUGGAAUGCAUGUAUUGGGCAUAUGGAUUUACGAAAAAAGAAGCAAUAGAAUUUGCUAAAGCGGAGAUUGGGAAAAGAUAAUGGAAAGAUUAAAGCCAUUUAGAGGAAACAUGGAUUUCUGGUUAUACUGUUUUUAGCACAACAUCUAUACGCCUUAUCUCCUACACUUGAAAUGAGAAUGACAAUUGAACUGUUGUCGUCAUUCUGUAAUCACUUUUCUUCUGUGGCAUACUAUACUUCGAUUGUAACUUUCAAAUUGCUCAGGAACGUCACUAAUGUCCAUGAUAAAGAGACAUACUGAUUGAUUGAAAACGUGUCGACGUUGUUUUAGAUGAAUCCACACUUGCUCGUAACAACAAAACUGAAUAAAACAUAAUUCCUUUUGCUUUAUCAAACCCAGUCGAAUUUGUUUUUUUUGUCUUUUUUAUUUUGCAUGCCAAUUGUUAUUUAAAAGUACAUCACAUUAAUUAUAGCAUAUUCAAUGCAUUAUUGCAUUUACAACUCUUUGUCUGAUUCGUCUUUUGUUUUUAUACACCAUUACGCAUAAAACAGCUGUUGUGCUUAUACAGUCAUAAAUAUACUCCAAAAAUCUUUA